RNAcentral lists this transfer RNA (73 nucleotides) under Rhamnusium bicolor. RNAcentral's name for it is "tRNA-OTHER". Lineage: Eukaryota; Metazoa; Arthropoda; Insecta; Coleoptera; Cerambycidae. The record is from RNAcentral.
GCAUCGUGGUCGAGUGGUAAGGACACUUGCCUUUUAUUCUGGAGUCCCGGGUUUGAUCCCCGGUCAAGAAACU